UACGAAGGGGGCUAGCGUUGUUCGGAAUUACUGGGCGUAAAGCGCACGUAGGCGGACUGUUAAGUCAGGGGUGAAAUCCCGGGGCUCAACCCCGGAGCUGCCUUUGAUACUGGCGGUCUCGAGUCCGGAAGAGGUUAGUGGAAUUCCCAGUGUAGAGGUGAAAUUCGUAGAUAUUGGGAAGAACACCAGUGGCGAAGGCGGCUAACUGGUCCGGUACUGACGCUGAGGUGCGAAAGCGUGGGGAGCAAACAGG
Molecule: ribosomal RNA, 253 nt
Filed under: uncultured bacterium
Lineage: Bacteria
Description: partial 16S ribosomal RNA
Rfam family: Bacterial small subunit ribosomal RNA
Source: RNAcentral